CCUACGGGAGGCAGCAGUGGGGAAUAUUGCACAAUGGGCGCAAGCCUGAUGCAGCGACGCCGCGUGAGGGAUGACGGCCUUCGGGUUGUAAACCUCUUUCAGUAGGGAAGAAGCGAAAGUGACGGUACCUGCAGAAGAAGCGCCGGCUAACUACGUGCCAGCAGCCGCGGUAAUACGUAGGGCGCAAGCGUUAUCCGGAAUUAUUGGGCGUAAAGAGCUCGUAGGCGGUUUGUCGCGUCUGCCGUGAAAGUCCGGGGCUCAACUCCGGAUCUGCGGUGGGUACGGGCAGACUAGAGUGAUGUAGGGGAGACUGGAAUUCCUGGUGUAGCGGUGAAAUGCGCAGAUAUCAGGAGGAACACCGAUGGCGAAGGCAGGUCUCUGGGCAUUAACUGACGCUGAGGAGCGAAAGCAUGGGGAGCGAACAGGAUUAGAUACCCUGGUAGUCCAUGCCGUAAACGUUGGGCACUAGGUGUGGGGGACAUUCCACGUUUUCCGCGCCGUAGCUAACGCAUUAAGUGCCCGCCUGGGAGUACGGCCGCAAGGCUAAACGUCAAAGGAUUGAGGCGNGAGNGNGCGAGGCGACGACGAGGAGAGG
RNAcentral lists this ribosomal RNA (595 nucleotides) under uncultured bacterium. RNAcentral's name for it is "bacterial SSU rRNA". It matches the Rfam family "Bacterial small subunit ribosomal RNA", at positions 338 to 945 of the family's 1533-position model. The record is from RNAcentral.